CUACGGGCUGCUCCAGUGGGGAAUAUUGCACAAUGGAGGAAACUCUGAUGCAGCAACGCCGCGUGGAGGAUGACGCAUUUCGGUGUGUAAACUCCUUUUAUAUGUCAAGAAAAUGACGGUAGCAUAUGAAUAAGCACCGGCUAACUCCGUGCCAGCAGCCGCGGUAAUACGGAGGGUGCAAGCGUUACUCGGAAUCACUGGGCGUAAAGGACGCGUAGGCGGGUUGGAAAGUCAGGUGUGAAAUCCUACAGCUUAACUGUAGAACUGCACUUGAAACUUCUAAUCUAGAGUAUGGGAGGGGGAGAUGGAAUUAGUGGUGUAGGGGUAAAAUCCGUAGAUAUCACUAGGAAUACCUAAAGCGAAGGCGAUCUCCUGGAACAUUACUGACGCUAAGGCGUGAAAGCGUGGGGAGCAAACAGGAUUAGAUACCCCGGUAGUC
Molecule: ribosomal RNA, 439 nt
Filed under: uncultured bacterium
Lineage: Bacteria
Description: partial 16S ribosomal RNA
Rfam family: Bacterial small subunit ribosomal RNA
Source: RNAcentral